This 221-nucleotide ribosomal RNA is filed under the name uncultured bacterium. Its description in RNAcentral is "partial 16S ribosomal RNA". It matches the Rfam family "Bacterial small subunit ribosomal RNA", at positions 524 to 744 of the family's 1533-position model. The record is from RNAcentral.
UACAGAGGUCCCGAGCGUUGUUCGGAUUCAUUGGGCGUAAAGGGUGCGUAGGCGGCGGGGCAAGUCUGAUGUGAAAUCCUGGGGCUCAACCCUGGAACUGCAUUGGAUACUGCCUUGCUAGAGUACUGGAGAGGAAACUGGAAUUUACGGUGUAGCAGUGAAAUGCGUAGAGAUCGUAAGGAAGACCAGUGGCGAAGGCGAGUUUCUGGACAGUUACUGAC